This 178-nucleotide non-coding RNA is filed under the name Burkholderiales bacterium. RNAcentral describes it as "6S RNA". It matches the Rfam family "6S / SsrS RNA". Rfam says of the family: E. coli 6S RNA was the first non coding RNA to be sequenced, but its function was unknown until recently. It consists of 184 nucleotides that fold into an extended hairpin structure with a large single-stranded internal bulge. The record is from RNAcentral. Lineage: Bacteria; Pseudomonadati; Pseudomonadota; Betaproteobacteria; Burkholderiales.
AAUCCCCUGCGAUGUGCGUCAAGGUCUGUAACUCUUUGAGCCAAUAAUUGAGACCUGGUUGCUGACCUUAAGAGCGCUGUUGUGCGCAUCCUUUUUCGGAAGCGCCUGAUGUGCUCGGAAAGCGACCAACUUGAACCCAGGUUCAAGAAGAGGGCCUAACGGCAUCUGCGGGGGACCC